UUUUUUUACUGAAUCUUGAUAGUAUUUAUAAGGAAGAUAUGAGUGAAUAUUUUCUCUAAUUUCCGGAGUCGUUGUCCGACUAUGAUCUGAUUUUAUUAAACGAACAGAGUUAUCUUUCUUGGUAAUUUGAUACAGACGCCUUCAGACCCGCCAAAGACAAACAAAAUUUAAAACAAUGGAUCCCGUCGACCAAGCAAAUAUAUCUAUGGACGAUGCAACAGAUACAGAACAUCUUAUUAGAAUAUUGACGGAAUCAAAAGCCAGCUUAACAAUUAUUACAGCAGCAGAAGGACUGUGACACAGUAGUGGGAAUGAAAUCCCUAGAAUAUAGAUCAAAUCGAAGAAAAGAUCAGAUAUAAAACAAUGAAGAAAGAAAAGGAUGACUUAAUUUCAAAAGCAGAUUUUACAAAAGUUCACCUGACAACCAAAAAGAACUGCCCACCAAGAGCCUUUAUCAUUCAAAAGAAGAUAGUUCCGUAAUGAACAAUUCCUGUAUGAUAGGAGAUGGACUGACAAUUUCUGUUUUGUUGAGGAUAAAAUUCAUGUGAUUUUACAUUUUCCUGUUAAUGACUAUAUAUGGCAAAUUCUCUUUAUUAAAUCUAUUAACACUUAUGAAAUUGGUGAUGAAAAUGUUAUAAUUUUUCAAGGGAAAAUAAUGUAAACUUGUUAUUGUCUCUCAUAAAUCUGUACAGAUUAUAUCAAGAUUUAUAAUUGUAUUUUUUGUUUGCUUUAAGUGAGACUUUUAAAUAAAAUAUUGAAAUAAUUUGAAAA
Mytilus californianus (California mussel) is the source of this 771-nucleotide long non-coding RNA. RefSeq lists it as uncharacterized. NCBI's taxonomy places the organism in Eukaryota, Metazoa, Mollusca, Bivalvia, Mytilida, Mytilidae. The transcript has 3 exons. The record is from RefSeq and is a predicted model, not a curated record.